This is a non-coding RNA of Mus caroli (Ryukyu mouse), 1118 nucleotides long. NCBI's taxonomy places the organism in Eukaryota, Metazoa, Chordata, Mammalia, Rodentia, Muridae. The record is from RefSeq and is a predicted model, not a curated record.
AUGAACCUGGGAGUUGGAUGAUAACGGAAAGCCUUACGUGCUCCCCAGUGUCCGGAAGGCAGAGGCCCAGAUUGCUGCAAAAAAUUUGGACAAAGAAUACCUGCCCAUUGGGGGACUGGCUGAAUUCUGUAAGGCUUCUGCAGAACUGGCCCUGGGCGAGAACAACACAGUGUUGAAAAGCGGCCCGUUUGUCACUGUGCAGACCAUUUCCGGGACUGGAGCCUUAAGGGUCGGAGCCAGUUUUCUGCAAAGGUUUUCUUAAGUUCAGCCGAGAUGUCUUUCUGCCCAAACCAUCCUGGGGAAAUCACACACCCAUCUUCAGGGAUGCCAGCAUGCAGCUCCAAGGUUAUCGCUACUAUGACCCCAAGACUUGCGGCUUUGACUUCUCCGGAGCCCUAGAAGACAUAUCAAAAAUCCCAGAGCAGAGUGUCCUCCUCCUGCAUGCCUGCACUCACAACCCCACAGGCGUGGACCUGCGUCCAGAGCAGUGGAAGGAGAUAGCGUCCGUGGUGAAGAAAAAGAAUCUCUUCGCAUUCUUUGACAUGGUCUACCAAGGCUUUGCCAGUGGUGAUAGUGAUAAGGAUGCCUGGGCCGUGCGGCACUUCAUCGAGCAGGGCAUCAAUGUCUGCCUCUGCCAGUCAUAUGCCAAGAACAUGAGCCUGUACUGUGAGCGUGUGGGAGCCUUCACGGUGGUCUGCAAAGAUGCAGAAGAAGCCAAAAGGGUAGAGUCACAGCUGAAGAUCUUGAUCCAUCCCCUGUAUUCCAACCCACCUCUCAAUGGGGCCCGGAUCACAGCAACCAUCCUGACGUCUCCAGACUUGCGGAAGCAAUGGUUGCAGGAGGUGAAAGGCAUGGCUGACCGCAUCAUCAGCAUGAGGACCCAGCUGGUCUCCAACCUGAAGAAAGAGGGCUCUUCCCACAACUGGCAGCACAUCACCGACCAGAUCGGCAUGUUCUGUUUCACCGGCCUAAAGCCGGAGCAGAUGGAGCGGCUGACCAAGGAGUUCUCUGUCUACAUGACAAAGGAUGGCCGAAUCUCCGUGGCAGGGGUCACCUCUGGCAAUGUAGGCUACCUUGCCCAUGCCAUUCACCAGGUCACCAAGUAAUUCCCAGGUGCG